UGUUUCGGCUAGGGGGCCAUCCCGGCUUACCAACCCGAUGCAAACUGCGAAUACCGGAGAAUGUUAUCACGGGAGACACACGGCGGGUGCUAACGUCCGUCGUGAAGAGGGAAACAACCCAGACCGCCAGCUAAGGUCCCAAAGUCAUGGUUAAGUGGGAAACGAUGUGGGAAGGCCCAGACAGCCAGGAUGUUGGCUUAGAAGCAGCCAUCAUUUAAAGAAAGCGUAAUAGCUCACUGGUCGAGUCGGCCUGCGCGGAAGAUGUAACGGGGCUAAACCAUGCACCGAAGCUGCGGCAGCGACACUGUGUGUUGUUGGGUAGGGGAGCGUUCUGUAAGCCUGCGAAGGUGUGUCGUGAGGC
RNAcentral lists this ribosomal RNA (361 nucleotides) under Salmonella enterica subsp. salamae. RNAcentral's name for it is "partial 23S ribosomal RNA". It matches the Rfam family "Bacterial large subunit ribosomal RNA", at positions 911 to 1269 of the family's 2925-position model. Lineage: Bacteria; Pseudomonadati; Pseudomonadota; Gammaproteobacteria; Enterobacterales; Enterobacteriaceae. The record is from RNAcentral.